RNAcentral lists this ribosomal RNA (217 nucleotides) under uncultured bacterium. RNAcentral describes it as "partial 16S ribosomal RNA". It matches the Rfam family "Bacterial small subunit ribosomal RNA", at positions 524 to 733 of the family's 1533-position model. The record is from RNAcentral.
UACGAAGGGGGCGAGCGUUGUUCGGAUUUACUGGGCGUAAAGGGCGCGUAGGCGGCCCUCCUAGUCGCGUGUGAAAGCCCCGGGCUCAACCUGGGGAAUUGCGCGCGAAACGGGGGGGGCUUGAGUUCGGGGAGAGGAGCGUGGAAUUCCCAGUGUAGAGGUGAAAUUCGUAGAUAUUGGGAAGAACACCGGGUGGGCGAAAGGCGGCGCUCGUGGG